This 200-nucleotide long non-coding RNA is filed under the name Elaeis guineensis (African oil palm). Its description in RNAcentral is "long non-coding RNA (EGUI_LNC046906)". The record is from RNAcentral. Lineage: Eukaryota; Viridiplantae; Streptophyta; Magnoliopsida; Arecales; Arecaceae.
GAUCUAUCAAUCUUGAUAGAUAAGGAGCAGCCCUAUGUGAUUUAUGAGACUAAAUUUUGAAGGCCAUGGUCAUGGCAGUGUGAAUAAUAAAAAAAAAUUUCAUGAGAUUUUAGAUAAUGAACUCAAGUUGAAUAAAUCUUACAUAUGAUAGAUGAAGGUAUUUGAUGAAUUUUUCAUAACCUUUAUCUUAUCGAAACUCA